Molecule: ribosomal RNA, 268 nt
Filed under: uncultured Acinetobacter sp.
Lineage: Bacteria; Pseudomonadati; Pseudomonadota; Gammaproteobacteria; Moraxellales; Moraxellaceae
Description: partial 16S ribosomal RNA
Rfam family: Bacterial small subunit ribosomal RNA
Source: RNAcentral
CCUUAUGGUUGUAAAGCACUUUAAGCGAGGAGGAGGGUACUGGUAUUAAUACUACCAGGUACUGGACGUUACUCGCAGAAUAAGCACCGGCUAACUCUGUGCCAGCAGCCGCGGUAAUACAGAGGGUGCGAGCGUUAAUCGGAUUUACUGGGCGUAAAGCGUGCGUAGGCGGCUAAUUGAGUCGGAUGUGAAAUCCCCGAGCUUAACUUGGGAAUUGCAUUCGAUACUGGUUAGCUAGAGUGUGGGAGAGGAUGGUAGAAUUCCAGGU